Molecule: RNase P RNA, 180 nt
Filed under: Dethiobacter sp.
Lineage: Bacteria; Bacillati; Bacillota; Dethiobacteria; Dethiobacterales; Dethiobacteraceae
Description: partial RNase P RNA component class A
Rfam family: Bacterial RNase P class A
About the family: Ribonuclease P (RNase P) is a ubiquitous endoribonuclease, found in archaea, bacteria and eukarya as well as chloroplasts and mitochondria.
Source: RNAcentral
AGCCAGGUGACUGGCUGGCUAGGUAAACCCCACCCGGAGCAAGACCGAAUAGGGGAGAGUUGACGUGGCCCGCCGAUCUCCCGGGUUAGGUUGCUGGAGGUGACAGGUAACUGUCAUCCUAGAGAGAUGGCUGCCGCCCCGCAAGGGGAACAGAACUCGGCUUACAGGUCUGCUCUGUAU